GGAUGUGAGGGCGAUCUGGCUGCGACAUCCAUCACCCCAUUGAUGGCCAGGGUUGAUUCGGCUGAUCUGGCUGGCCAGGAGGGUGUCCCCUUCCUCCCUCACCACUCCGUGUGCGUCCCUCCCGAAGCUGCGUGCUCGGUCGAAGAGGACGACCUUCCCCGAUAGAGGCGUACCGUUCAUCGGUCAAGGGUAUA
Molecule: small nuclear RNA, 194 nt
Filed under: Podiceps cristatus (great crested grebe)
Lineage: Eukaryota; Metazoa; Chordata; Aves; Podicipediformes; Podicipedidae
Description: 7SK RNA
Rfam family: 7SK RNA
About the family: 7SK was discovered as an abundant small nuclear RNA in the mid-70s but a possible function has only recently been suggested. Two independent studies have found that 7SK RNA binds the CDK9/cyclin T complex (known as elongation factor P-TEFb).
Source: Rfam by way of RNAcentral